AUCUGAAUUAUUGUCUGAGGAUGGUAUCAAGGAAGACCCCCCCCACCCAGUCGGGAGUCCCAACCCAUAGGAGGAAGACUGACCUGGACCACCAGCUUGUUGGUGAUGCUUGCAAGGAGGCCAUAUCAUUCCUUGUCCACUCGGCCAAUGAAAAACAAAUCUAUCAGAAGAUGGAGGUUUCAGUAUCGCCUGGAGCUAGUUUAUUGUCCAGACAGAAGCACAGAUAUCCUCAGUCUUUCCCAGGUUUCUGGACAUCAAAGGAUUGGUGAAUCAGGACUUUUUGCUGAUGUUUGACAAUGAAACAACCUCUAAGUUCAUUGAAAAGUUGGACACUGUAUUGAAGCCUAAAGUCAUCAAAUUUUCAAAAUCCCCGGCUACGACCACUGAUUUCUGUCGCCUCCUGAAAACUGCCAGAGAAUGACAGCGAAACCAACUGGGACAAUGAUAUGUCCUCCCUGCUGCUUCUUCAUCUCCUCCCACCACCAGCMCGAGGGAAGAGCACCAAGAUCAGUGCCAGUGAUGCUGUGGGCAGACUAGUGCACUUU
Long non-coding RNA from Salvelinus sp. IW2-2015, 545 nucleotides. RefSeq lists it as uncharacterized. Lineage: Eukaryota; Metazoa; Chordata; Actinopteri; Salmoniformes; Salmonidae. The record is from RefSeq and is a predicted model, not a curated record.